This 253-nucleotide ribosomal RNA is filed under the name uncultured bacterium. RNAcentral describes it as "partial 16S ribosomal RNA". It matches the Rfam family "Bacterial small subunit ribosomal RNA", at positions 524 to 776 of the family's 1533-position model. The record is from RNAcentral.
UACGGAGGGUGCAAGCGUUGUCCGGAUUUAUUGGGUUUAAAGGGUGCGUAGGCGGUUCGUUAAGUCCGGGGUGAAAGCCCACUGCUCAACAGUGGAACUGCCCUGGAAACUGGUUGGCUUGAGUACAGACGAGGGUGGCGGAAUGGAUGGUGUAGCGGUGAAAUGCAUAGAUACCAUCCAGAACCCCGAUUGCGAAGGCAGCUGCCUAGACUGUAACUGACGCUGAGGCACGAAAGCGUGGGGAGCGAACAGG